This is a long non-coding RNA of Homo sapiens (human), 2742 nucleotides long. Ensembl annotates it as PAXBP1 antisense RNA 1. Its record names the gene PAXBP1-AS1. Lineage: Eukaryota; Metazoa; Chordata; Mammalia; Primates; Hominidae. The record is from Ensembl.
AGGAGGGAGACCACGCCCACUCUGCGCCGACCGGCUGGGCCUGGCACCCGCGGGCGGCCCCAGCCUCAGUCUCCAGCUACCUUUGCCUCCUGCGGCCGCCCCCAGGCAGAGCUGCGAUCCCACCGCCGGGGGUGCAGGGAGAGGGAAGAUCUGGCCUCCUUGGUCCUUUUGCGUGGGCUCUUCAGAGCGUGAGCGCCGGGGAGGGACUCCGGAGAAAAGCUUGGGGGGCUGCGUAUUGCUGCUCCCCAAGCUGGGCGUCAGGACCAACCCCGCCGCCCCCACGGGCCUGACGGGAGAGGAGGAAGGGCUCGGGACGGUCGGCUCGCCGAGCCAACCAGGUGGCGCCUGAAGAGCUGUCCAUGGUGUCGACAGCCCAGCAAACGGCACCGAGUUCCUAGUCUGAGUGUCUGGAUAGGUAGCAGAAGAAAAACUAAUGCCUGCUCUGGGACAGUUCUGUUCGGUGCCUUUUCUUGUGUGUUCUGGAGCUCACAGGGUUCUAUCGAAGAGUGCUUAGGUGUAUACGAUGGAGAGUGGGACGUCACAAACCAGGAUCUCAAGGCUGAGUCCAACAAAACAUGGCCGUAGGGAGGCCACGACAGCUGUGGUUGUCACCGACGGAUGAAUAGCUUUUGCCAACCGUGGAAUUUAGUAACUAAAGGCACCUAACCCUUUUAUCUCAUCCUCAUUUUUCAACAAAUGGUGCUUCCUGGCUAAUAUCAGCGUGUCCCAUAGAUUUCUGCUUCCAUUGAAUAGACCUAAUAAGAAAGAGAAUGAAGUCAAAGCCAACAGGGCAGAAAGAAAUUGAAAACCUGAAGAACCCAGCACUCAAACUGUCUCCACUUGCGUUUGCUUUUUCUUUACCUCUUCUCCUUCUGGUUUUCAACAGCCAAAGCAGGAUUUAAAUUUGGUUAUGUUGCAAAAAUCAUUUCCCUCUUCAGGCCCUGUCAUGUGACUUGAUUUUUUCGUCCAUUUUAGAGAAGCUGUACCCACCCUGGUUUCAGGACACGGAACUAAAUUUAUUAGAAAAGAAGCCACUUCAAGUCAUGAAGGAGAAACACAAAGAUUCUUGGAUUUAGUUCUAAGAACUAGAGGGGAUUUCUAUGUCAGUACUGUCUCAGAAAAAACUGUUGAUAUCAAAUGUGUUGCUUGAGAAGUACCUUUUUUUUUUUGAGACGGAGUCUCGCUCUGUCCGCCCAGGCUAGAGUGCAGUGGCGCGAUCUCGGCUCACUGCAAGCUCCGCCUCCCGGGUUCACGCCGUUCUCCUGCCUCAGCCUCCCGAGUAGCUGGGAUUACAGGUGCCCACCACCACGCCCGGCUAAUUUUUGUAUUUUUAGUAGAGACAGGGUUUCACCGUGUUAGCCAGGAUGGUCUCGAUCUCCUGACCUCGUGAUCCACCCGCCUCGGCCUCCCAAAGUGCUGGGAUAACAGGCGUGAGCCAUCGCGCCCGGCCGAGAGGUACCUUUUAUGACAACUGAAAUCAUUCAGUUUCAAGAGGAGUUGGGUACUGAAACCAAACUUGCUUACUCCAAAGCCCAAAAUCCUUUCCACCAUGCCUGUGUGUCUGUAAGGCUACACUAGAAAUGCUUCCUUUCUUAUAGUGGGAAGCAUGGGUACUAAGCUCUUUUACGAACAAGUGUUCUGCAUAUUCCUGGUUCCUUUUUAUUUUGGACUGAGGAGAUUUAGGUCAAAAUUUCUGGGUUCUGGGUUGGAAUUCCAGCUUCUUUCUUCAAAUUAAACUGGGGGGUAGCAAGACUUAUUCCUAGAUUUGUUAGAAGGCCACAGCUUUUCCACAUCUCAUUUUAGUCAUGAAAAAGACACAUGCCCAGAGUUUGAAAAACAUAAAGGCAAUUUGACUAGUGGCUUGAUUGGUUCUAUCUUCUUUUUCUUGUCCCUCUUUCCUAUUUAUACUUCUACUUUUGUUACAGCAUUUGACAAUAGUUGGAAAAAUUUUCACUGACCUUGAAAUGUCUUUGGGAUAGGGUGACUUAAAAUAUAGGUUAAGUGGCAUACACAAACUUCUUAGUGAGAUCCUAAGGGCCUACAGAGACAGGCUGACACCAACUCAACCCUUGAAACUGUGCAAUGAAGAGCCUGUGGGAGGCUAAAAAACGCUACUUCAAAAAGAGAUCCUUGUCUGUGAAUGUUAAUUUAGGUUUACAGAUUUGAUUAAGGGUCUUGAGAUUAUUUUCAAUUAUCCAGGUGGGCCCUAGAGCCCUAGAUGCAAUCAUAAGUGUCCUUAUAACAGGGAGGCAGAGGAAAAUUAAACACGCACACAGGAGAGAGAGAGAGAGAAAAAAAAGUGAUGUGAAGACAGCAGCAGAGAUUGGAGCGAUGUGGCCAUAGCCAAGCUAUGUCAGCAGCCAUCAGAAGUUGGAAGAGGCAAGGAAGGAUUUGAGCCUAGAGCCUUUGGAAGGAGCAUGGCCCUGUUGGUUCUGGCCUCCAGAACUGCAAGAAAAUACAUUUUUGUUGUUUUAAACCACCCAGUUCAUGGUAAUUUGUAACACCAGCUACAAGAAAUUAACACAAGGCUGAUGUGACUUUCCAUCAGGAGAGAGACAGCCCCAGCUCUGUAACAUUUGACUACUUUUGUAAGAGUUUCAUGAUUUCAAGGAUGAUUAUUAGCAUUUUCAAUUUUUUGGCCAAUUCUGGGUGCUGGUAAUGUUACCACUGCAGGCAACUAUGGCUCUACUCAACUGAAGACCUCUUAUAGGCAAUGUGGACCAUACCUGCUUUCCUGAGAGA